AAGGUUUUAAGUUAAUUAAACUAUUGGCCUUCAAAGCUAAAAAUAAAAACAUUUUUUAAGCCUUA
Molecule: transfer RNA, 65 nt
Filed under: Coniopteryx sp. YW-2016
Lineage: Eukaryota; Metazoa; Arthropoda; Insecta; Neuroptera; Coniopterygidae
Description: tRNA-Trp
Rfam family: tRNA
About the family: Transfer RNA (tRNA) molecules are approximately 80 nucleotides in length. Their secondary structure includes four short double-helical elements and three loops (D, anti-codon, and T loops).
Source: RNAcentral